CCUACGGGAGGCAGCAGUGGGGAAUAUUGCUCAAUGGGCGAAAGCCUGAUGCAGCAAAGUCGCGUGAAGGAAGAAGGGUCUCGGCUCUUAAACCUUUAUCAACCGGGAAGAAAGUAAUGACGGUACCUGACUUAGCAGCCCCGGCUAACUACGUGCCAGCAGCCGCGGGAAUACGUAGGGGGCAGGCGUUAUCCGGAAUUCCUGGGUGUAAAGGGUGAGUAGGGGGGAUGGUAAGCCAGAUGUGAAAGACUUGGGCGUAACCCGAGGAUUGCAUUUGGAACUAUCAUGCUAGAGUACAGGAGAGGUAAGCGGAAUGCGUGGUGUAGCGGUGAAAUGCGUAGAUAUUAGGAAGAACACCGAUGGCGAAGGCAGCUUUCUGGACUGAAACUGACGCUGAGGCACGAAAGCGUGGGGAGCGAACAGGAUUAGAUACCCCAGUAGUC
Molecule: ribosomal RNA, 443 nt
Filed under: uncultured bacterium
Lineage: Bacteria
Description: partial 16S ribosomal RNA
Rfam family: Bacterial small subunit ribosomal RNA
Source: RNAcentral